AACGAACGCUGGCGGCAUGCCUAACACAUGCAAGUCGAUCGAAGCCUUCGGGCUUUGUGGCGCCCGGGUGCGUAACGCGUGGGAAUAUGCCCUUUGGUUCGGAAUAACAGUUGGAAACGACUGCUAAUACCGGAUGAUGACGAAAGUCCAAAGAUUUAUCGCCAGAGGAUGAGCCCGCGUAGGAUUAGCUAGUUGGGGGGGUAAAGGCGCACCAAGGCGACGAUCCUUAGCUGGUCUGAGAGGAUGAUCAGCCACACUGGGACUGAGACACGGCCCAGACUCCUACGGGAGGCAGCAGUGGGGAAUAUUGGACAAUGGGCGAAAGCCUGAUCCAGCAAUGCCGCGUGAGUGAUGAAGGCCCUAGGGUUGUAAAGCUCUUUUACCCGGGAUGAUAAUGACAGUACCGGGAGAAUAAGCCCCGGCUAACUCCGUGCCAGCCGCCGCGGUAA
This 449-nucleotide ribosomal RNA is filed under the name uncultured bacterium. RNAcentral describes it as "partial 16S ribosomal RNA". It matches the Rfam family "Bacterial small subunit ribosomal RNA", at positions 29 to 523 of the family's 1533-position model. The record is from RNAcentral.